Molecule: ribosomal RNA, 611 nt
Filed under: uncultured bacterium
Lineage: Bacteria
Description: bacterial SSU rRNA
Rfam family: Bacterial small subunit ribosomal RNA
Source: RNAcentral
AUACAUAAAGGAAUUGACGGGGACCCGCACAAGCGGUGGAGCGUGUUGUCUUAAUUCGAUGGUAAGCGAAGAACCUUACCCAGGUUUGACAUCCCGAGAAGGAUCCCGAAAGGGAACUGUGCUUUAUUGAACUCGGUGACAGGUGUUCGCAUGGCCGUCGUCAGCUCGUGUCGUGAGAUGUUUGGUUAAGUCCAUCAACGAGCGCAACCCUUGUAGUUAGUUGAAUUUUUCUAGCUAGACUGCCCUGGUAACAGGGAGGAAGGAGGGGAUGAUGUCAGGUCAGUAUUACCCUUACAUCUGGGGCUACAAACACGCUACAAUGGCCGGUACAAAGGGCAGCCAAGUCGCAAGACGGAGCAAAUCCCAUCAAAGCCGGUCUCAGUUCGGAUAGCAGGCUGAAACUCGCCUGCUUGAAGUCGGAAUCGCUAGUAACGGUAGGUCAGCUAUACUACCGUGAAUACGUUCCCGGGUCUUGUACACACCGCCCGUCAAACCAUGAAAGUCGCCAAUAUCUGACGUGCCAGCUUGCCUGGCCCUAAGGUAGGGGAGAUGAUUGGGGUUAAGUCGUAACAAGGUAUCCGUACCGGAAGGUGCGGAUGGAUCACCUCCUU